This 443-nucleotide ribosomal RNA is filed under the name uncultured bacterium. RNAcentral's name for it is "partial 16S ribosomal RNA". It matches the Rfam family "Bacterial small subunit ribosomal RNA", at positions 338 to 795 of the family's 1533-position model. The record is from RNAcentral.
CCUACGGGAGGCAGCAGUGGGGAAUAUUGGGCAAUGGGCGCAAGCCUGACCCAGCAACGCCGCGUGAAGGAAGAAUGCUUUCUGGUUUUAAACUUCUUUUCUGAGGGACGAAGAACGUGACGGUACCUCAGGAAUAAGCCACGGCUAACUACGUGCCAGCAGCCGCGGUAAUACGUAGGUGGCAAGCGUUAUCCGGAUUUAUUGGGUUUAAAGGGCGUGUAGGCGGGAAAGCAAGUCAGAUGUGAAAACUCAGGGCUCAACCCUGAGCCUGCAUUUGAAACUGUUUGUCUUGAGUGCUGGAGAGGCAAGCGGAAUUCCGUGUGUAGCGGUGAAAUGCGUAGAUAUACGGAGGAACACCAGUGGCGAAGGCGGAUUGCUGGACAGUAACUGACGCUGAGGCGCGAAAGCGUGGGGAGCAAACAGGAUUAGAUACCCGAGUAGUC